RNAcentral lists this ribosomal RNA (839 nucleotides) under uncultured bacterium. RNAcentral's name for it is "bacterial SSU rRNA". It matches the Rfam family "Bacterial small subunit ribosomal RNA", at positions 21 to 901 of the family's 1533-position model. The record is from RNAcentral.
GGCUCAGGAUGAACGCUGGCGGUAUGCUUAACACAUGCAAGUCGAACGGGAAUCUUAGGAUUCUAGUGGCGGACGGGUGAGUAACGCGUGAGAAUUUGGCUUCAGGUCGGGGACAACAGUUGGAAACGACUGCUAAUACCGGAUAUGCCGGAAGGUGAAAGAUUUAUUGCCUGAAGAUAAGCUCGCGUCUGAUUAGCUAGUUGGUGGGGUAAGAGCCUAUCAAGGCGACGAUCAGUAGCUGGUCUGAGAGGAUGAUCAGCCACACUGGGACUGAGACACGGCCCAGACUCCUACGGGAGGCAGCAGUGGGGAAUUUUCCGCAAUGGGCGAAAGCCUGACGGAGCAAUACCGCGUGAGGGAGGAAGGCUCUUGGGUCGUAAACCUCUUUUCUCAGGGAAGAAAAAAAUGACGGUACCUGAGGAAUAAGCAUCGGCUAACUCCGUGCCAGCAGCCGCGGUAAUACGGAGGAUGCAAGCGUUAUCCGGAAUGAUUGGGCGUAAAGGGUCUGUAGGUGGUGCUGUAAGUCUGCUGUUAAAGAGUCACGCUCAACGUGAUAAAAGCGGUGGAAACUACAGGACUAGAGUGCGGUCGGGGCAGAAGGAAUUCCUGGUGUAGCGGUGAAAUGCGUAGAUAUCAGGAAGAACACCGGUGGCGAAAGCGUUCUGCUAGUCCGCAACUGACACUGAGGGACGAAAGCUAGGGGAGCGAAUGGGAUUAGAUACCCCAGUAGUCCUAGCCGUAAACGAUGGAUACUAGGCGUGGCUUGUAUCGACCCGAGCCGUGCCGGAGCUAACGCGUUAAGUAUCCCGCCCGGGGAGUACGCACGCAAGUGUGAAACU